AACGAACGCUGGCGGCGUGGAUAAGACAUGCAAGUCGGACGAGGAAUUUUUAAGCUUGCUUUGAAAUUCCUAGUGGCGAACGGGUGAGUAACACGUGAGUUACCUGCCCCAAAGUCGGGGACAGCCCGGGGAAACCCGGAUUAAUACCGGAUGUGAUCGUAAGAUUAAAGGCGGGGUAACCUGCCGCUUUGGGAUGGGCUCGCGGCCUAUCAGCUUGUUGGUGAGGUAACGGCUCACCAAGGCGAUGACGGGUAGCUGGUCUGAGAGGAUGAUCAGUCACACUGGAACUGAGACACGGUCCAGACACCUACGGGUGGCAGCAGUCGAGAAUCAUUCACAAUGGGGGAAACCCUGAUGGUGCGACGCCGCGUGGAGGACGAAGGCCCUAGGGUCGUAAACUCCUGUCAUCAGAGAGUAAGGACUUCACCAGUAACUGGGUGGGGUAUUGAUAGUAUCUGAAGAGGAAGGGACGGCUAACUUCGUGCCAGCCGCCGCCGUAACAC
This 503-nucleotide ribosomal RNA is filed under the name uncultured bacterium. Its description in RNAcentral is "bacterial SSU rRNA". It matches the Rfam family "Bacterial small subunit ribosomal RNA", at positions 29 to 526 of the family's 1533-position model. The record is from RNAcentral.